This 211-nucleotide unclassified non-coding RNA is filed under the name soil metagenome. Its description in RNAcentral is "partial contains 5.8S ribosomal RNA, internal transcribed spacer 2, and large subunit ribosomal RNA". The record is from RNAcentral.
AACAAGGCGUACCUGCGGACCUGCGGAAGGAUCAUUACAAGUGACCCCGGUUUACCACCGGGAUGUUCAUAACCCUUUGUUGUCCGACUCUGUUGCCUCCGGGGCGAUCCUGCCUUCGGGCGGGGGCUCCGGGUGGACACUUCAAACUCUUGCGUAACUUUGCAGUCUGAGUAAACUUAAUUAAUAAAUUAAAACUUUCAACAAUGGAUCU